UGCAACCACGAGCAGCUGUCACGGCAAAAUCAAAUGGGAUUAUUUGCAACCACAAACUGUGCGUACGUGUUGGUGAGAAAUGUCGGCGAGACCCUAAUACGUAUCUGUCAAGUUACAAUCAAGUGGUGGAAUUAAAUGGGAUAGUACGAACUCGUCUUAUGACAAGUGAAGACAUUCCACUAAAAAGCUCAAAAAUAAUUUUCUCCUCCUAUUUAUUGGGUAUACGUCGUAACAGUUGAUUCUACGUUCCGGGAAAUAACUGUUCCCAUACACUGUGGCACCUUUUGAUAUUCAAGUACACUUGAUGUUCCGUUACAACGCGCUCGAUGCCGGCAUUGGACAAAAUGCCCUAUAUAUGAAUGGAUUACUGUUGGCUGGACUGCUAGUUUACGAUCGAAUAUUGCCGGAUCACGCGCACCUGUCAGGUGUUCGACACGGCGCUUCGAGUCUAACGGAUCAUGCUGGAUCUGAGAAUAUGGUCGCAAUAUCUUGAGUUGCUGGGAGAAUUUGAUAUCCCGAUUCCUUUCCGACGCUCGCCAAUAGCAGUCCGUUUCUUCAUCACCACAUGGUGCAGCUGCUGGUACCAGCACGACACUAGUUAUUAAUGUAUUCUAAAUUAUAUUAUGCUCAAUGAAUUGCCUACUUUGAGCGAGAUUACAGCGGCACACUAGGAGUUAACUUUCUGAAAUCAGUAUGGCGAAAGGCAUCUAAGGUU
Molecule: long non-coding RNA, 715 nt
Organism: Armigeres subalbatus
Lineage: Eukaryota; Metazoa; Arthropoda; Insecta; Diptera; Culicidae
Exons: 3
Source: RefSeq, a predicted model, not a curated record